AUUGAACGCUGGCGGCAGGCCUAACACAUGCAAGUCGAACGGUAACAGGAAGCAGCUUGCUGCUUUGCUGACGAGUGGCGGACGGGUGAGUAAUGUCUGGGAAACUGCCCGAUGGAGGGGGAUAACUACUGGAAACGGUAGCUAAUACCGCAUAACGUCGCAAGACCAAAGAGGGGGACCUUAGGGCCUCUUGCCAUCGGAUGUGCCCAGAUGGGAUUAGCUAGUAGGUGGGGUAACGGCUCACCUAGGCGACGAUCCCUAGCUGGUCUGAGAGGAUGACCAGCCACACUGGAACUGAGACACGGUCCAGACUCCUACGGGAGGCAGCAGUGGGGAAUAUUGCACAAUGGGCGCAAGCCUGAUGCAGCCAUGCCGCGUGUAUGAAGAAGGCCUUCUGGUUGUAAAGUACUUUCAGCGGGGAGGAAGGGAGUAAAGUUAAUACCUUUGCUCAUUGACGUUACCCGCAGAAGAAGCACCGGCUAACUCCGUG
Molecule: ribosomal RNA, 490 nt
Filed under: uncultured bacterium
Lineage: Bacteria
Description: partial 16S ribosomal RNA
Rfam family: Bacterial small subunit ribosomal RNA
Source: RNAcentral